UCUUAUCAAGAGUGGCGGAGGGAUUAGGCCCGAUGAUGCCCGGCAACCAUUCAAGCAGCUGCUUGAAAAGGUGCUAAUUCCUACAGAAACCAUGUUCUGAAAGAUAAGA
This 109-nucleotide non-coding RNA is filed under the name Thalassobacillus devorans. RNAcentral describes it as "SAM riboswitch (S box leader)". It matches the Rfam family "SAM riboswitch aptamer (S box leader)". Rfam says of the family: The SAM riboswitch is found upstream of a number of genes which code for proteins involved in methionine or cysteine biosynthesis in Gram-positive bacteria. The SAM riboswitch acts at the level of transcription termination control. The predicted structure consists of a complex stem-loop region followed by a single stem loop terminator region. Lineage: Bacteria; Bacillati; Bacillota; Bacilli; Caryophanales; Bacillaceae. The record is from RNAcentral.